GCAUCCAGGCUGCAUGGCAUGAAUGACUCAAUGAUCUAUUAGCAAUUUCUGCUAUAGAAAAUGGGAGAUGAGGAGAUCACAUUCUGACAAAAUGGACCAAUGAUAAUUUAUAAAAAUGCUACCUUUUGGAGCUUCUUGACUCAGGGGGAUAGUGUCUUCUUGAGAUUGAACUGAAAUAAAAGCUUACAUUGGGACAACACUGCCAAACGUGGCAACAUCUCCGACUGUUUCUCCCUCAGCAUUCAUGGCAGGAUCCCGUCCAGGAUACCAUAUUGCAUUUACUGGGCAUGUCUUCUUAGACUCUUCUUGGAUGUGACAGUGUUUCAGACUUUCUUUGCUUUGUGUGACCAUAAGAGCUUUGAGGAGCACUGGUCAGCCAAAAAUUCAGUCUUUUCUCCAAGGAACCCUACCGAGAAGUUUUCUUAGGCCAAUGAAAGAUGGACAGAUGUGAUGUAUGACUCUGGAAUGGACUAUUUCAGAUCCAGGCACACUUCUCCAUUCAUCUCUUUUCCUUCUGCCACGGUUAGAGCCAUGUUCCAAAUAACGUCAGCUCUGCUAGCCUGGAACACAAUUUAGGAGGGCUGUUACAUAGGUUGGAGCCUACUAAUGACAUUUAAUGGUCAGGAAGUAUGAACCUCACAUGAACAUCACUUACUCAGGGUUGAGAUUUUGGGAGAUUGUCUGCUGUUUUGAUAUUACCUCAUGUAAGCUGAUCUAGAAAUUGCUAGGUUUAAAUAAUGUUUCUAAACCAUAAAGCUGACAGUGGAGAAGCCAAGAUUCAAACUUUUCCAUUAUUCUGGAAUACAUAGGAGGUAAAUAGGUGAAUUAGUUUGCUAGGGCUGGGUACCAAAAACUAGGUUGCAUAAAUAACAUAAAUUUAUUGUCUUACCAUUCUAGAUGUCUAAAAGCAGGCCAGAUGGCUAAAAUCAAGGUGUCAUCAUGGCUGGUUCCUUCUAAGAGCCAUGGCAGAGAUUAUGUUCUAUGCCUCUCACCCAGUAUCUGGUGGGUUUCUGGCAAUCUUUGCUAUCUUUUGGC
Molecule: non-coding RNA, 1035 nt
Organism: Oryctolagus cuniculus (rabbit)
Lineage: Eukaryota; Metazoa; Chordata; Mammalia; Lagomorpha; Leporidae
Source: RefSeq, a predicted model, not a curated record